CUUUUCACUGAAUUUAAAUUCCUCCAUCAUAGACAUUCAUAAACUUAUGAAUACACAAUAACUGUUGCUUCCUAGUGAGAAUUAUUCAGGAUAAUGCAUAAAUAAUGACUACUAACAGUGGGAGAAUAAGGGGAAGAAUAUCUAAUCAAUGCAUCAAGUAACUUGAGAGCAUGCGGCCUUCCUGCGAGGAACACAGUCUGAGGAAACAUACAACUCUCACAUGAUUGUUCAAGUGCAAAUUCUGCGCCUCUUGAUCACAGAUCGUGCCUUAUGUGCAGAGCUAUUUCUUAACUUCAGUCUAUCCUGGUGACCUCCUAAUGGGAGAGUCAAAGGAAAACCAACUCCUUCGUUCUCCUCUUCAGUGUUUACCAAACUGUUCUCCUCAAUGAAAACAUACCGUCCCACUUCUAUCAGCAGAGUUCAAUGAAACAAACAGAACUACUAUUUGUCUCUGUCGGACCCUGGUUUUCAUAUUUGAUGCUGGAGCUCCAAGACUGCAGUGCAGGCAGUUAGGAAAGAAAGACGCAUAAGGACGGAUAGAUGGAUAAAAGGAAGAGCAAAGAUAAACUGGGACUUGUGCAAAAACUGGAACCCACAAGGAUUAACUGGAACCCUUUUCAGUUCUCAUUGCUCCCGAGUGUGAUGAGACUGGUGUCCUGCAUGAGAAGCUGCUGCCCCUCUUCAUGGAGCUAAACACGCAUCUGGCCCAGGAUCCUGAGAAGCUGAAGGAGGCUCCAGGGGAACUUAUAUUAGUUGCAGACCUGCUGCUGCCCCACCUGUACAAGUUCAGCCUGCAGAAAACAACCUGUGUGAGCUACAAAAGUGCCCAAGGACCUUGCUGUAGGCUUCUGCACGUAAAGAUGAGUAGAGCGGCUGCUUUGCUUCUGUGCCCCUAAAUUUUUACAAAGAUAUCUCUUACGGCCCACUCUCUUCACAAACAUACAGGCUAAGAAUAUCCUGGGAAAAGCAGUUCAGCUUAUCUAAGUUACCACAUUACAAAGCCAAUGCAGUCCACCUUUUGUCACUUAGUACCCAUAUAUCUCUCUUUAAACACAAUAAUUUCCAAUAAAAACAGUAAUAAAGUCAUGCUUCCCCUGACACAAUACAACUUUUCCACUGACUUUAAUCACAGGACUUGAGUGUAUUAAGAGAUCUCCCUGGGGGUACACCUGUGUUCCAGACAUGCUAUUGUGAGUCUGCGUUCUGUAGUAGCAACCCACCAUUCACUUAAUUGUCAGAGUCAGUUACCCAGCCAGAGCCGAAAUCUCCUUCUUUGCACAUUGAUUCAUUGCCACGAGGAGCUAAAAGUGGUUAGGUUGGCAUCUCAAAUUCCAGUUCAAUAAAAUAAUUAUUUUGUCAUUGAUAUAAGCAUUUCUCCUUUUGGAUUUAAGACUUCUCAACCAGUAGAACCUAAAGUCACAGGGCAAUGGAAUCUUUUGUUUUCCCUAAUGGAUCACUUGUGGUAAUAGUGAAAGGAAGUACUUCUCAUUUCCACCCUUGGAUUCACAGAUCCAUGAAUCUUGGCCACAGGAGAAGCAUCUCCAUGUAUAGCUGCUGGUUUAGAGCAUAUAUCACAUCCUGGAGAAAACUGCCCCACA
RNAcentral lists this long non-coding RNA (1598 nucleotides) under Equus caballus (horse). RNAcentral describes it as "lncRNA (ENSECAG00000057212.1)". Lineage: Eukaryota; Metazoa; Chordata; Mammalia; Perissodactyla; Equidae. The record is from RNAcentral.